Molecule: ribosomal RNA, 509 nt
Filed under: bacterium RA6-12
Lineage: Bacteria
Description: bacterial SSU rRNA
Rfam family: Bacterial small subunit ribosomal RNA
Source: RNAcentral
AUUUNAACGCUGGCCGGCAGGCUUAACUCAUGCAAGUCGCGCGGUAACAGGGGAGCUUGCUCCUGCUGACGAGCGGCGGACGGGUGAGUAACGCGUAGGAAUCUACCUAGUAGAGGGGGACAACAUGUGGAAACGCAUGCUAAUACCGCAUACACCCUAAGGGGGAAAGGAGGGGACUCUUCGGAGCCUUCCGCUAUUAGAUGAGCCUGCGUGAGAUUAGCUAGUUGGUAGGGUAAAGGCCUACCAAGGCGACGAUCUCUAACUGGUCUGAGAGGAUGACCAGUCACACUGGGACUGAGACACGGCCCAGACUCCUACGGGAGGCAGCAGUGGGGAAUAUUGGACAAUGGGCGGAAGCCUGAUCCAGCCAUGCCGCGUGUGUGAAGAAGGCCUUAGGGUUGUAAAGCACUUUCAGGGGUGAGGAAGGGUAACUGGCUAAUAUCCAGUUAUCUUGACGUUAGCCCCAGAAGAAGCACCGGCUAACUCUGUGCCAGCAGCCGCGGGUAAUA